AGUGAACGCUGGCGGUAGGCCUAACACAUGCAAGUCGAACGGCAGCACAGUAAGAGCUUGCUCUUACGGGUGGCGAGUGGCGGACGGGUGAGGAAUACAUCGGAAUCUACUUUUUCGUGGGGGAUAACGUAGGGAAACUUACGCUAAUACCGCAUACGACCUACGGGUGAAAGCAGGGGAUCUUCGGACCUUGCGCGAUUGAAUGAGCCGAUGUCGGAUUAGCUAGUUGGCGGGGUAAAGGCCCACCAAGGCGACGAUCCGUAGCUGGUCUGAGAGGAUGAUCAGCCACCCUGGAACUGAGACACGGUCCAGACUCCUACGGGAGGCAGCAGUGGGGAAUAUUGGACAAUGGGCGCAAGCCCGAUCCAGCCAUACCGCGUGGGUGAAGAAGGCCUUCGGGUUGUAAAGCCCUUUUGUUGGGAAAGAAAAGCAGCAGGUUAAUACCCCGCUGUUCUGACGGUACCCAAAGAAUAAGCACCGGCUAACUUCGUG
RNAcentral lists this ribosomal RNA (492 nucleotides) under uncultured bacterium. RNAcentral's name for it is "partial 16S ribosomal RNA". It matches the Rfam family "Bacterial small subunit ribosomal RNA", at positions 29 to 507 of the family's 1533-position model. The record is from RNAcentral.